CCAUUCUAUGUCCCCCCCCAGGGUUACAUCGAGUCCAUGAAGCUGAUCCUGGGGGGCUCCUUGAGCCGCGUGGGGGCGCUCAGUGAGUGCCCCUUCCAGGGGGAUGAGUCCAUCCACAGCACAGUCACCAACGUGCUGGCGUCCGUCCUGGGGGAGCACACGAAGGCUUUGGUGACGCAGCUGACCCUGUCAACGCUCCUGACGGACCUGAGGGAGGAACAUCAGGGACCAGU
Molecule: non-coding RNA, 233 nt
Organism: Coturnix japonica (Japanese quail)
Lineage: Eukaryota; Metazoa; Chordata; Aves; Galliformes; Phasianidae
Source: RefSeq, a predicted model, not a curated record